GGUUCUAUGGUGUAAUGGUUAGCACUCUGGACAUUUUGUAUCCAGUAGUCUGAGUUCGAAUCUCAGUAGAACCU
Molecule: non-coding RNA, 74 nt
Organism: Oryzias latipes (Japanese medaka)
Lineage: Eukaryota; Metazoa; Chordata; Actinopteri; Beloniformes; Adrianichthyidae
Source: Rfam